CGCCAGACUCCUACGGGAGGCAGCAGUGGGGGAUAUUGCACAAUGGGGGAAACCCUGAUGCAGCGACGCCGCGUGAGUGAAGAAGUAUUUCGGUAUGUAAAGCUCUAUCAGCAGGGAAGAAAAUGACGGUACCUGACCAAGAAGCCCCGGCUAACUACGUGCCAGCAGCCGCGGUAAUACGUAGGGGGCAAGCGUUAUCCGGAUUUACUGGGUGUAAAGGGAGCGUAGACGGUUAUGUAAGUCUGGAGUGAAAGCCCGGGGCCCAACCCCGGGACUGCUUUGGAAACUGUGUAACUGGAGUACAGGAGGGGCAGGCGGAAUUCCUGGUGUAGCGGUGAAAUGCGUAGAUAUCAGGGGGAACACCGGCGGCGAAGGCGGCCUGCUGGACUGAAACUGACGUUGAGGCUCGAAAGCGUGGGGAGCAAACAGGAUUAGAUACCCCUGUAU
RNAcentral lists this ribosomal RNA (447 nucleotides) under uncultured bacterium. RNAcentral describes it as "bacterial SSU rRNA". It matches the Rfam family "Bacterial small subunit ribosomal RNA", at positions 329 to 793 of the family's 1533-position model. The record is from RNAcentral.